AUCUUGUGACAGCAUGACCAAAUUGUUUCUGGAGUAGAUUGGUGCAAAAGCUCAAACAGAAUAGUUACUGUUUCGCAUGACCGUAAUUCAUAUGUUUGGAACCAAGAAACGACCGAAUGGGUACCCACUCUUGUUAUCCUUAGGCUAAAUCGUGCUGCACUUUGUGUACAAUGGAGUCCAAAAGAAAACAAGUUUGCUGUUGGAAGUGGGGCUAAAACUGUUUGUAUAUGCUACUAUGAACAAGAAAAUAACUGGUGGGUCAGUAAGCUUAUCAGGAAGCGACACGAGUCUUCUGUGACGAGUGUAGCUUGGCAUCCAAAUAAUGUGCGUGUUUCUCAACUCUUGUCUGGUACUUCUUUGUCCAGCCUGUGUGCCUAAAAAAUCAUUUAUGGGCCCAAUACAUAAUGGCUGCUUAAAGAAAGUGGCAUAUGAACACCAAAUUAUUUAUUUUCAAGCGGAAUUUAUAUAAAGCAUGGCGUGCUCUUAAGAGCACAUGCUUUAUUUAUUUAUGUGCCUUGACGAGAGCAAAUAAAUUUCAUUAUAGAAAGGGAAAAUUCAUUUUCUAGGUAGACAAUUUUUUAAGUUUCCGAAGUCCAUUCUGAAACUUAUGUGAUUUUUAAUGGAAUGGUAGGAUUUAAGAUUUAUUUUUGCAGUUGUUACCAGCCAAAGAGUGUAUUAUUGAGAAAAAAAUGGUUCAAGGCCCAAACAGAAAGCCGAGGUUGUGUCUUUGUGUUGUGCUAGACUAAGGUUAAGGUGUAAUAUUAUAUCAGUAAAAGUUGAUGCACAUACGGUGACUGGCUUUUUGUUUCUAUCAUAUUAAUGAAUCUACUACAAGCCAAGCAAUGGCAUUUCUUUUAUGCUGCUCCCCCCUGAAGCUGAUCAAGCAGUUUGUACCACUUACAAAUUGCUUAGAAGUUUAUUUCUAUAUUUUCCUUAACCUUUUUUU
Long non-coding RNA from Olea europaea var. sylvestris, 946 nucleotides. RefSeq lists it as uncharacterized. The transcript is spliced from 4 exons. Lineage: Eukaryota; Viridiplantae; Streptophyta; Magnoliopsida; Lamiales; Oleaceae. The record is from RefSeq and is a predicted model, not a curated record.